Molecule: long non-coding RNA, 232 nt
Filed under: Brassica napus (rape)
Lineage: Eukaryota; Viridiplantae; Streptophyta; Magnoliopsida; Brassicales; Brassicaceae
Description: long non-coding RNA (BNAP_LNC005004)
Source: RNAcentral
AAACUAUCCCACACGGACUGCCCAUGACCCUGGCUCAAUCCCAAGAGCCCACCAGCCCAUCGGCACACACGGGUCACCCACAUGGCCCGGCCACUGUCCAGACCCGGCCCAACUGCCCAAGACCCGAACACUCAGUCCAGCUGAGUUGAGCUGAUCCCCAGCUGAUACAGCUGAGUGAGCUAGACCAUCCAGCUCAGGGAGCUGACCUACACUUCAGUGAGUUACACCGAGC